UCCGUAGGUGAACCUGCGGAGGGAUCAUUACACAAUACAAUAUGAAGGCUGUCCGCAGCUGGAGUAUUUUAUUACCCUUGUCUUUUGCGCACUUGUUGUUUCCUGGGCGGGUUCGCUCGCCACCAGGACCACCAAAUAAACCUUUUUUAUGCAGUUGCAAUCAGCGUCAGUACAAACAAUGUAAAUCAUUUACAACUUUCAACAACGGAUCUCUUGGUUCUGGCAUCGAUGAAGAACGCAGCGAAAUGCGAUACGUAGUGUGAAUUGCAGAAUUCAGUGAAUCAUCGAAUCUUUGAACGCACAUUGCGCCCUUUGGUAUUCCAAAGGGCAUGCCUGUUCGAGCGUCAUUUGUACCCUCAAGCUUUGCUUGGUGUUGGGCGUUUUUGUCUUUGGUCGCCCAAAGACUCGCCUUAAAGUGAUUGGCAGCCGGCCUUUCUGGUUUCGCAGCGCAGCACAUUUUUGCGCUUGCCAUCAGCAAAACGGCAAUCCAUCAAGCCUCCUUCUCACGUUUGACCUCGGAUCAGGUAGGGAUACCCGCUGAACUUAAGCAUAUCAAUAAGCGGAGGA
RNAcentral lists this ribosomal RNA (567 nucleotides) under Curvularia lunata. Its description in RNAcentral is "eukaryotic LSU rRNA". The stretch from base 194 to 347 matches the Rfam family "5.8S ribosomal RNA". The record is from RNAcentral. Lineage: Eukaryota; Fungi; Ascomycota; Dothideomycetes; Pleosporales; Pleosporaceae.